Molecule: ribosomal RNA, 405 nt
Filed under: uncultured bacterium
Lineage: Bacteria
Description: bacterial SSU rRNA
Rfam family: Bacterial small subunit ribosomal RNA
Source: RNAcentral
UGGGGGAUAUUGCACAAUGGAGGAAACUCUGAUGCAGCAACGCCGCGUGAGGGAAGAAGGUCUUCGGAUUGUAAACCUUAGUAGUCAGGGACGAAAGAAAUGACGGUACCUGAAGAGUAAGCUCCGGCUAACUACGUGCCAGCAGCCGCGGUAAUACGUAGGGAGCGAGCGUUGUCCGGAUUUACUGGGUGUAAAGGGUGCGUAGGCGGGACUGCAAGUCAGACGUGAAAUACCGGGGCUUAACCUCGGGGCUGCGUUUGAAACUGUGGUUCUUGAGUGAAGUAGAGGCAGGCGGAAUUCCUAGUGUAGCGGUGAAAUGCGUAGAUAUUAGGAGGAACACCAGUGGCGAAGGCGGCCUGCUGGGCUUUAACUGACGCUGAAGCACGAAAGCAUGGGGAGCAAACA